GGGGCCGUAGUCUAGCCAGGGAUGACGACGGGCUCCAGACUCGGCGGAUGUCGUGGGUUCAAAUCCCACCGGCCCCA
RNAcentral lists this transfer RNA (77 nucleotides) under Candidatus Bathyarchaeota archaeon. RNAcentral's name for it is "tRNA-Trp". It matches the Rfam family "tRNA". From Rfam's summary of the family: Transfer RNA (tRNA) molecules are approximately 80 nucleotides in length. Their secondary structure includes four short double-helical elements and three loops (D, anti-codon, and T loops). Lineage: Archaea; Thermoproteati; Candidatus Bathyarchaeota. The record is from RNAcentral.